GAUCUCCUACGGGAGGCAGCAGUGGGGAAUCUUGCACAAUGGGCGAAAGCCUGAUGCAGCCAUGCCGCGUGAAUGAUGAAGGCCUUAGGGUUGUAAAAUUCUUUCGCUAGGGACGAUAAUGACGGUACCUAGUAAAGAAGCCCCGGCUAACUUCGUGCCAGCAGCCGCGGUAAUACGAAGGGGGCUAGCGUUGUUCGGAAUUACUGGGCGUAAAGCGCGCGUAGGCGGACUAACAAGUUGGAUGUGAAAUCCCAGGGCUCAACUCUGGAACUGCAUUCAAAACUGUUAGUCUAGAGGCCAGGAGAGGUCAGUGGAAUACCGAGUGUAGAGGUAAAAUUCGUAGAUAUUCGGUGGAACACCAGUGGCGAAGGCGACA
RNAcentral lists this ribosomal RNA (376 nucleotides) under uncultured Alphaproteobacteria bacterium. Its description in RNAcentral is "bacterial SSU rRNA". It matches the Rfam family "Bacterial small subunit ribosomal RNA", at positions 333 to 726 of the family's 1533-position model. Lineage: Bacteria; Pseudomonadati; Pseudomonadota; Alphaproteobacteria. The record is from RNAcentral.